This 142-nucleotide transfer RNA is filed under the name Candidatus Woesebacteria bacterium. RNAcentral describes it as "tRNA-OTHER". It matches the Rfam family "tRNA". Rfam says of the family: Transfer RNA (tRNA) molecules are approximately 80 nucleotides in length. Their secondary structure includes four short double-helical elements and three loops (D, anti-codon, and T loops). Lineage: Bacteria; Candidatus Woeseibacteriota. The record is from RNAcentral.
GUAAACGUAGCUCAGUUGGUAGAGCAGGACUCAAAAAAAGCUCUGUGUUAAUUUUUUUCACUCUUUAUGGGUUGCAAAUGAUACAGUUACUUCUAAAUAUCAAAAGUCCGGGUCAGUGGUUCGAGUCCACUCGUUUGCUCCA